Molecule: long non-coding RNA, 216 nt
Filed under: Theobroma cacao (cacao)
Lineage: Eukaryota; Viridiplantae; Streptophyta; Magnoliopsida; Malvales; Malvaceae
Description: long non-coding RNA (TCAC_LNC005327)
Source: RNAcentral
UGGAGACUGUAUACUUGUGUUAUACAUAUGUUUUGACAUAUGGUUUGAAUUGAUGGCUUAUGACAAUGUGAUGGCAAGCAUGGCUGGAUUUGUGUUUGUGUGGAAUAUAUGAACUGUUUUGCUUUGCCUUGACAGGCUGGUAAUAUUAUAUUAGCCAUGUCAUGCUGUCAGAAAUUUUAUUGAAUUGGUGGUUAUUUGAUUAGCUUACUGCAGUGG